GUGUAGCAGGAAUAGUCAGAGUACAAGAGAGAGCUAAAGGAUUAUAAAUUAUGCUGCCAAAGUGGUAGAAUUGAGUAAAUGGAUCAACCAACUUGUCUGCUACUUAAAGAAAACAUUUAUACAUGAAGUCUUGUUUUGCCUAGUCUUGUUUCCCAGUUCCUACCUUGUCAAUGUAUGAUUUCAUUUAUGAUGAAAUUUAUGAUGUCAUUUCAAACUUCAUUUAUUUUUGUUCUUCCUUUGCAGGAGCCCUUGAAGAAGUUGAAGAGCUACAGUCUGAUGAAUUAAGUAAAGGAAGGCCAAAGGAACCCCAGAUCAAAUCUCAAGGAGAAUUUCAAGGUCAGCAUGGCAAGAAGGGCAAAAAUGGAAGAAAAGGCCAGAAGCAGCAGAAUGGCCCCAGCAGUCAAACUUUCCAAGGAGACCAGGAGCUUGCACAAGGAAAGUCACGUGGUAAAGGUGGCCAAAAAGGCAAAGGCCGGCCAGGGUGGUCAGGGUCAGCAGGGCGGCCAACGUGGAAGAGGCAGACAGGGUGGUCAGCGUGACCAGUGACCAGGAAACCAACUGAAGAUGGCCUCCCUAGGUACUAAUCAUAAUUUUAUUCAAUAAUUAGUGAUUUUUUUCUGUAAAUUUCCUAAUUCUUCAUUCUUGCUUCUAUUCAUUUCUUUCAUUUAAAAUUUUUGAUUUUAAGUUCUGUUAACUCAUUUGCCUAGAUUUGUCCUUGCCACAAUUCUCCUUGUUCCAACUUUACACAUGGAAAAAUUCUCCAUAUUCACAAAGUCUAGUGUUAUAUUCACCUGGAAGAUUUUUCUGACUCUUAUUCAUUGGUCAAUUCAGAACCUCUUCAAGGUAUUCCUUUCUUCUCUUUCUCUUCUCUCCCUUUUCCCUCUUCUAGUCUCCUCCUCCAUCUUCCCUCUCUUCUCUUAAUGUGUUGUCUUAUAAUGAGAAUACUCAAUUAAAGAGAUAUCAGGCAUAGGUCAUAUCCAGGCCAAUUUAUUACUUCUGUCUAAAAUCCUUCUCUUUGUUUCAGAAACCCAUGAAGAUUAAUUGGUGAUCAUGGAUUUGUCAGAAAUGAAAAGUUCUGGCCUUUUCUUUCUCCAACUUUAAAGCAGCAAUAAAAUCAUUAGCAUUCAAAGCUUGGCUCA
RNAcentral lists this long non-coding RNA (1139 nucleotides) under Oryctolagus cuniculus (rabbit). RNAcentral's name for it is "lncRNA (ENSOCUG00000035444.1)". The record is from RNAcentral. Lineage: Eukaryota; Metazoa; Chordata; Mammalia; Lagomorpha; Leporidae.